CCUACGGGGGGCAGCAGUGAGGAAUAUUGGUCAAUGGCCGGAAGGCUGAACCAGCCAUGCCGCGUGAAGGUCAGUGCCCUAUGGGCGUUAAACUUCUUUUGUGCGGGAGCAAUAAUGGUCACGUGUGGCCAGACGAGAGUACCGUACGAAUAAGCAUCGGCUAACUCCGUGCCAGCAGCCGCGGUAAUACGGGGGAUGCAAGCGUUAUCCGGAUUUAUUGGGUUUAAAGGGUGCGUAGGCUGUGAGGUAAGUCAGCGGUGAAAUGCCCCCGCUCAACGGGGUGAAGUGCCAUUGAUACUGGCGCUCUUGAGUGGAAGAGAAGUAUGCGGAAUGCGUGGUGUAGCGGUGAAAUGCAUAGAUAUCACGCAGAACCCCGAUUGCGAAGGCAGCAUGCCGGCUUCCGACUGACGCUGAAGCACGAAAGCGUGGGGAUCGAACAGGAUUAGAUACCCGAGUAGUC
Molecule: ribosomal RNA, 460 nt
Filed under: uncultured bacterium
Lineage: Bacteria
Description: partial 16S ribosomal RNA
Rfam family: Bacterial small subunit ribosomal RNA
Source: RNAcentral